CAUGAACAUUGUCCGUUUCUUUCCGUGAUUCUACUUGCUGUACAAGAAGUGAGGGCCGGCGCCUUCGUCUAGUGGUUGGUUGCGGCAGUAGUGCGGGUCUAAGCUUAACUUAAGAAGGCCUUCGUAGAGAGGAGGGGAACAGCAGUCGCCGGAGCCGCACGCCCGGCUGCCUGGUUGGGUUCGAGGGAGGGAGGGAGAGUGUUGUCCGCGGUUAUUAGGGUUGGGGUUGGGGUUUCGGUCUCUAUUGGGGUCGCUCAGCCGCCGUUGAGGUUGCGGCGGCGCCGGACACCAAGACCACCUCUACCCGCGGGGGUGCAUGGCCGAGCGCCGCCGCCAGUGCCCGGGUAGCCCGCGGCUCCGGCCCAAGGAGCAGCGCGCCGUCGGCGGGGGCGGCGCCCACGUCCUCCUCCUCCCCCUCAUGCCCGCGAAGCAGCUGUCGCUGGAAAUGCUGGAGGGCAGCCGCGGGGACGCCGCGGAGCGCGUCCCGCUCGUCCGGUCCGGCCCGCACCGGCAGCGGCUGCGCCUCCGCCUCCCGGGGGAGCUGGAGAGCGCGGAGCUGCAGGGGCGGCGAGAGCUGGUCUAAAACUCGGUUAACCCGGACUGCUUACGUUACACGCCCCUCACCUCCGAGGAGUUCGUAUAGCUCCUUGGUCUCAAGCCGGGCCUGCGCCCGCAGUUGUGCCACGAGCAGUAGUGCAGCGAGCUCAGCUUUGGCCUCCGCAACGUUCUGAGGACAUUUACCUACAGGUGCCUCCCCCGAGCCCUUAACGAAAGACUGCACUUCGGGCCACUAUGAGCUUAACCCGGUAUACACGUACAACCUAAACACUUUAGCCUAGAUAGAAGUCUAACAUGUCGACCGAGGUGUAACCAGAGGGUCCUCAUGGGAGGGCCUUAAUGGGAACAUGGUUACUUCUCAUCAUGGAAUGCCGGAAAAGCAUGCUGAUUAGAACACCAUUAUGUUCGUUGGUCACCAUGUACACCUAGCUUCGCGGGACUAAUAAAACGAACACCACUACAAAAUGACUAUCUAGGACCUACAACGAGUGUCCAAGUAUGUCUCGAACGUCUAGAACAGUUAAGGGAAGGUUUCUUCAAUGACCAGGAACAAUGUGUAGUAGUAUUACUAGUACAACUCCCAGAAAGCCAACAAGUCUCUACGUUAGGACUACGACAAGAAAACUGUGUACUUUUGUGCUACUUCGCGUAUCCCUUUCCCUUAACCAGUUGGCCGAUAUGACGACACUGACCACCACUUUCGUAUACGUAUCCACUGGUUCUUGACGUUCAGCAAAAACGAGGACCAGUAUGUCUACCAGUAUACCCCGAAGAGGUACAGUUAUGGUUACGUGAUUAACAGCCUCUAGUAACACAUCCCGUACCUUCACGUUAUAACCUGUUAUCUCGACCACCGUUGUACUUCCUGAUGAAGGUUUGGUGUAUGUUUAAGAACCUCUACAGCGGUGUGCACGAUUAAGGUUACGUACCUUCUUAGUUGGAUACCGGGUUCGUAUACGAAACACCUAUAGAGUUCUUAGCUUUCCGAUCUCUUCGGAGGUAAGACGUUAGGUAUCUCUUACCACGAGUUUGAAACAAACUAUAUCAAAGUUUCUGAAUGACACUACAUCUGUCCUUUAACACCUAAGGACGUAGGAAAUUACAAGCGGAGGUACAACUAGUAGACUUGAGAGUUGUAUUUGAAGGGUUCCUAAAGAGGAAUCUUUACAAGUCACCUUCAACGCUACUUAAAUACAGAUCGGACGUCGUCACUGGCUGAAGAGUUGCCUUUUCAAACUUAGCUCGACGCCUUGUGUAAAGUAUAAAACCACCCCGCAUCGCAUACGGGUUCGGUCCUCGAGCGGCCGGGAGCAGUAGCGCCGUUCGCGGGAGCGGCGGCCACCAGACCGCUAGCGCAUACGGGAGUCCUCCUCGUUACCGUUGGUCGGGAUCCUAAGAAGAGGCUCUGGGCCAGUAGGGGUAGAGACUCACGUACGUCCACAGCAUUCUAGGCUCUAACAAGUACUUGACACUUGAGGGCUCUAACGAGUACUAACGUAUAAACACUUGAAACGAGACAUAUGUGUGUUGUGUUCCCUCUUCGAGGGCCACGAUGCAACACAAGGAGGAUUCGAUGUCCUUGAAAGCUGGAUCUCCAGGUACACGUCCACUUGGCUUAUGUCUCUGAAAACGACUUGGCUGCGAUGGCAAGGUAAGAUUAGAUUUUAUCUUUGGACGACGCUAGACCCCAAUUCUCCCUCGUACAAUUUUAACGA
Molecule: ribosomal RNA, 2273 nt
Filed under: Triticum aestivum (bread wheat)
Lineage: Eukaryota; Viridiplantae; Streptophyta; Magnoliopsida; Poales; Poaceae
Description: partial small subunit ribosomal RNA
Source: RNAcentral